This is a ribosomal RNA of Cavia porcellus (domestic guinea pig), 94 nucleotides long. The record is from Ensembl. NCBI's taxonomy places the organism in Eukaryota, Metazoa, Chordata, Mammalia, Rodentia, Caviidae.
GUUUAUGGCCAUAUCACCUUGAAUGCACCCAAUCUUAUCUGAUCUUGAGAGCUACGCAGGGUUGAGCCAGGUUAGUACUUGGAUGGCAGAAGCA